GACGAACGCUGGCGGCGUGCCUAAUACAUGCAAGUAGGACGCAGUUGCGAACGGGGGAGUAACGCGUAGGUAACUGCCUAUUAGAGGGGGAUAACUAUUGGAAACGAUAGCUAAUACCGCAUACUAGUAGAUGGACCUGCGUUGGAUUAGAUAGUAGGUAGGGUAAUGGCCUACUUAGGCAACGAUACAUAGCCGACCCGAGAGGUGGAUCGGCCCCACUGGUACUGAGACACGACCCAGACACCUACGGAAGGCAGCAGGACUGACUCUUUCGCAAUGAGGGGAACCCUGACCUAGCGACGCCGCGUGAGUGAAGAGGGUUGUCGGAUCGUAGCGCUCUGUUGUUAAGGAAGCGGUACUUAACCAGAAAUGGACGGCUAACUACGUGCCAGCAGCCGCGGUAAUUC
Molecule: ribosomal RNA, 407 nt
Filed under: uncultured bacterium
Lineage: Bacteria
Description: partial 16S ribosomal RNA
Rfam family: Bacterial small subunit ribosomal RNA
Source: RNAcentral